UUAACCAUCGAGAAAUGAAAAAAAGGCCAAAUCAUUGCCUAUAUAAAAUGCAAGAUCACACGACCAAGCAACCACGAAGAGAGUUCCAGAAAGCUAGUAAGAACACUUCUGUCUCACUUUAAAUGGGGGGUCAGAUCAGUGUUACAGUAGGCUUGGGAGUGACUCGUACCGAUGGACGCGAAACCGAAACUCGCAUCUAUGGCCCAACGAAGACCUUCGACUUGGACAAGGCAAAAAGCCAGGAUCAAAAGACAGGAAAGAUAAAAAAGGAUGGCGAUAAGAGCAAGUGAGAUGUAAUCAGCAAGCAAAAUAAGUGCAGGGAAGAAGAUCGCAAAUUCGCAAUUGGUGAUUGUGUUGGUGACACUGUUUCGCGUGGAUCCGUUCAACUACAAAUUAUUAGAUCUUCUUGUUUUCUCUAUCAAACUCAAAUUAUCGGAUCUGAUACUGAAAUGUUGUAAUACUUCACAUCCGACACUAUCCGCGCCGUUACAGUUAUGAGAAAUACCAUAUGAACACCAUAUAUCGGGUUUACAAUUAGGCCCUUUACAAUUA
Molecule: long non-coding RNA, 552 nt
Organism: Rosa rugosa (rugosa rose)
Lineage: Eukaryota; Viridiplantae; Streptophyta; Magnoliopsida; Rosales; Rosaceae
Exons: 2
Source: RefSeq, a predicted model, not a curated record